RNAcentral lists this long non-coding RNA (890 nucleotides) under Pan troglodytes (chimpanzee). Its description in RNAcentral is "lincRNA". Lineage: Eukaryota; Metazoa; Chordata; Mammalia; Primates; Hominidae. The record is from RNAcentral.
CACUGUCCUGUGGCCUUCAUUCCUUGGGGAAAACACCACAAUGGUCAUCACCUGAACAAAUGGAAUGGGGAGAUGUGGAAGUGAAAGAAAGGGAACGCUGAAGAAGACAGUAUCAGAGACCCAGGAGCAAUGAAACCUCAAUUGGCACAGAGGAUUUGGGAAGAAGGACCCAGAUUUGAGUAUUUUCAGCUCUAGGUGCUGAAGAUGUUCAUGAUCAAAUAGACAUGGUAGUUGAGGGAAAGAGGGUUUUGGGGAGCCCUUCUCCUUGGAAUUCUAGGGAGAGGACAUCUUACUCUUAUUGGAUCAUGCACAGUGCCUGAAGCAUUCUGUUGCAUGUAGAAAUCAGUAAAUUGCAGAUGUAAGAUUCAAAACCAGACUUCACAUCUACCGACUUCAGUGACCCUGAAAUUUGUUCACAGAGAGCAUUUAACAUAACUGUCUUCAUCAUCUCCUUCUCUACAUUAAAAAUUAUGGAGGCCUUACAAACUGGUAGAAGAUGCAUAACAGAAGAGCUUAUGAAGUUAAAGAUGACAGCAUAGCAGCACUGUUCACACAGACGUUAUUGGUGAUUCACUCUUGAGUCAUGAAAAGUCAACCUUGAGCCACAGAAAGUCAACCUUGAGCCAUGCAGAGUGGAGAGUCAUACAUGCCAUUCCUGGGACCAUCAAAAAUGGCAGAGGUCACACAAAAGGCAAAACUUUUAAGAGGUGUUUUAAACGUCGUAUGGGCCAAAGAGAAGCUGGAUUUCCUAUUGGAGUCAGCUGUAACACACGUGUGAUGAAAUUGGCCUGUGAGGACAAGGCAGUGAGCAGAGAGGACAGCAGUCCUUAUGAGAUCAAGCUCUAAGGUAUCCUAGAUACAUUUGGAGAAUUCACCUGAGCUACAGGAUG